GAAUAUUUCUAGCUUUAAAUAUCCUCCAGGAAAGAACUUGAAUACCUAAUCCAUGACUAUCUGAAAUCCAAACCAAUCAUAUUGAUUAAGGAAAGAGGAAGAGAGUAGGGAGAAGAGGUCCUGAAUUCCUGUUGAUGGUAAUAAGAAUCAGGCAUGGAGAUCAAGAGGUUUCUAGUGGGAUCCUACAGGGGUCAGUCCUGAGUCCAGUACUAAUCAUUAUUUUCAUUAAUGACUUUGAUAAUGUGGUGGAGAAUAUGCUUAUAAAAUUUACAUAUGACACCAACCCGGGAGAGG
This is a long non-coding RNA of Mauremys reevesii (Reeves's turtle), 294 nucleotides long. RefSeq lists it as uncharacterized. NCBI's taxonomy places the organism in Eukaryota, Metazoa, Chordata, Testudines, Geoemydidae. The record is from RefSeq and is a predicted model, not a curated record. The transcript has 3 exons.